GAAGAAAGGGCCGGGCAAGACCGGUGCCAGCCGCCGCGGUAAUACCGGCGGCUCGAGUGGUGGCCGCUUUUAUUGGGCUUAAAGCGUUCGUAGCUGGGUUGUUAAGUCUCUUGGGAAAUCUGGCGGCUUAACCGUCAGGCGUCUAAGGGAUACUGGCAAUCUUGGAACCGGGAGAGGUGAGGGGUACUUCGGGGGUAGGAGUGAAAUCCUGUAAUCCUCGAGGGACCACCUGUGGCGAAGGCGCCUCACCAGAACGGCUUCGACAGUGAGGGACGAAAGCUGGGGGAGCAAACCGGAUUAGAUACCCGUGUAGUCC
RNAcentral lists this ribosomal RNA (316 nucleotides) under uncultured archaeon. RNAcentral's name for it is "bacterial SSU rRNA". It matches the Rfam family "Archaeal small subunit ribosomal RNA", at positions 432 to 747 of the family's 1478-position model. The record is from RNAcentral.